Molecule: long non-coding RNA, 2919 nt
Organism: Aethalodelphis obliquidens (Pacific white-sided dolphin)
Lineage: Eukaryota; Metazoa; Chordata; Mammalia; Artiodactyla; Delphinidae
Exons: 2
Source: RefSeq, a predicted model, not a curated record
CGCGCUCGCCACAACGAGAGAAAGCCCGCACGCAGCAAUGAAGACCCAAUGCAGCCAAAAAAACAAAUUAAUUAAUUUUUUUUAAAAAAGUAGUUUUGUGGAAUGAGGAGUGUUCUGGGCGGAGGGAACAGGAAAAGAAACGUGGGUGGUUGGGCACGUGUGACCCAGGGGACUAUCAGGGUCACAGCGUGCUGGUCUGAGAGGGCUGCGUCUAGCUCCCAAGUUAAGGUUCGUGUUGGAAUCCGGGGUGUGCGGUUACUCCGCCUCCCGGAGUGGGGGAUGAUGUGGUGGAGGAAGGCCUGGCAGCCUUCUGCACAGAGUGGUCGGGCACCAUCUGCCUGCCCGGCACCGAGGCCAGAGCCCCACGACAGACAGGAAUGCAGGCUAUGGACACAGACGCUGGGCCCAGUGUGGAGGGGAAGCAUUGUUCCCCAUCCUUGAAGCCACUCGGAGGCCCUGGGUCAGAGGCAGGAUCCCCAAGGUUCCAACCUGGAUGCAGACCUCUGCCUGCAGGAGGCCAGAACCUCUGUGCUGAGGGCUGACGCCCUGUCCCGCUGGGAUGGUGCGCUUUCCCGCCAGCCGCUUUGCUGGGCAGAGCGCUGGCUUCAGGACUUACCCUCUCUGGCCUCAAGCCCCAGUGUGCAGAGGACCCGUGCCGUUCUGGGCUGUGGGUCUGCACAGAAGCCCUUUCCUGGGAGCUGGGAUGCCAGCGGCUCUUUCCCCAUUUCCAAGCCCCUGCGCUGUGUCCGUGCUGCUCUGUUCACCUCAGAUAACUUCUCGGCUUAGCCUCCACCCUGCUGGGCUGCGCUCCACAGCUGGAGCAAUGGUUCCUUCCCCAGGGCCCACGUGUUGGCCUGGGGUGUGAGCUGGAGUGAGGAAGUAAGGAACGGGGACUCAGGUCUCUGGUAGGGGCUGAGGGGGAUUCCGAAGGAGUCUGCACUCGUCUCUCUCAGUCUGUUUUCCUCCUUUGUAAACAGGAGAUGGUGACUGCCCCAUCUGCCUCCCUCCCAGAGCAGCUGUGUGGCUCAGGGGAGAGAAUUCGCUGAAAGGAGCUUUGAUUAGUGUAAACGCUAUGUAGGCCUAAGGCAGUGAUUCUCAGUCCUGGCUCUGGCUCUGAAUUAGAAUCACCAGGAGAGUUUAAGGGAAAAAAAUCAACGCUGUCCCUAACGCAGAGAUCGAGAUCCUGAUUUCGUGGGUCAGUGGUGGGGCUUAGGCUAAUAUGAAUUCUCCAAAUGAUCCUUGGACUCAGUGAGGGUCUAAGAGAUCCUAAACUCUCUCUAGAAGUGAAGGGGGCCCAGAAUCCUUCUUCCUUCCUCUCCUCUCAUGCUGACCAUAUAAUGUCGCGUAGGGGAGGAAGCUGUGGGUGGCCCUUUCUCUCUGGCAGCUUCCUGGAACUGUGCCCAGGUCAUGCCACCACCAUGACCUCAGCUGGCUGCAGGGUGGCAGCGUGGAAAUUGCGUGCGGUCAGGCUGCACCAGCUCCCAGUCUGGGCUCAGGCCAGGCUCUGCCUGAGCAAAUGAUAUUUAGCAAGUGACAUCACCUGACUGGACUUUCAAAUCACUCAUCUGUGAAAUGAGAAUGACAACAUAGAAGAGUUUGUAACUAUAAAAGAACACAUGCUCACACAUGCUCACACAUGCUUAGCAGUGUCUGCACAUCUGAGGCCCUCAAUGGCAGCCCAUGAGAAAGCUCAAACCCUCCUCUAUCCUGUGUUGCUGGUGCCAUUAUGUGUGGGAUCCUAAGGCAUUUGUAUCCCCCUGCCAGAGGGCCAGGCCCUAGUGAUGGGCACACGUGGAAUCCCAACAAAAGCCCUACAAGGGAGGAUGUUUGGUUUCACUGUCCCCUUCUACAGAGAUGCUGAGACCUUGCUCAAGGCUGCUCAGACCAUCCGUUCAGGGCUCAUUCAUCCCGGGAUCCUCAACAGCCCCUCAUUCAGCCACCCAGGGAACCCCCAUUUCCCCACGACCUGGGUGCCAAGAAAUUGUACCACCCAUGCUGCACAGGGAUUGAAAAUGUCUGAAUGUGGGGGAAAGAUGAAGGGAAGCAGCACAGGCUAGAGAGAGAGAAAGAAGAGAGUGGCAAGGGCUGGAGCGAGUGGGGGUCCUGCCAGGAGCUGGAAACGUUCCGGUGCCUGGAGCUGAGGGGGGCAUUGGGAAUGACUCACAGCCCACCAGUGACCAAGAUCUAAGACCUGGUUUCUGAGCCAAGCUCUGCCUCUAAACUACCCUGUGAUCUCAGCAGAUGGCUUCCCCUUCCAAUGCCUCAGCUUUCUUACCUGUCAUAUGGGAAUAUUGGAUCACAUCACUGUUUUUCAAGCUGCCAGUUGUCACCCAUUAGCAAGUUGUGAGAUCAGUUUAGUGGAUUGUCAUCAGCAAAUAAAAAGAAAAAAAAAACCAGAAAAUAUCAGUGCAUUGUACAUAGUAAGGGUUAGUAUUUUUUUGUGAAACUUUACGUCAAUCAUAGACCCAUGUGUGUAAGCAAUGUACAAAAUGUAUUUCUGUAUUAAUGAAGUCUCUAACAAAAAGCUUGAAGACACUUGGCUAGAUGACUUUUAAUAUAUCUCUCAGCCCUAAUUAACUCUAGAAAUCUGUAAGAUUAAAAAAAAUCUUAGUCUAGAGAAGAGACCUAGGGAAUAGGGUCUGGGCCGGUGGGGAAGACGCAGCCCCUAGAGUAUCAUUAUGUGAUGGGCACCUGCCAGCAGCUCUCUGUGGUCCUCCCGGAAACAGCAAGUGAAAACCCCAGUCCCACACCUGCAACCAAGUCAUCCUCCCCACCUGCUGCAGGUGACUCGAUUACAGAGCCCAGCUGAUAAGGAUGGAGACGGUUGCCUAGUGAGCCCGCUUUCACAAUCUGGAAUCUGUUCUGUGCUUCUCAUGUUACCCCUGCCAAAGGUGGACCACAGAAGAAGGGGAGGUUACA